Callithrix jacchus (white-tufted-ear marmoset) is the source of this 91-nucleotide small nucleolar RNA. NCBI's taxonomy places the organism in Eukaryota, Metazoa, Chordata, Mammalia, Primates, Cebidae. The record is from Ensembl.
GGGCCUCCAUGAUGUCUAGCACUGGGCUCCGAUUGCCACUGAGGACAUGGUGCCCCCUGGGACCUUUGACACCCAGGGGUCUGAGAGGCUC